CAGCUCCAAUAGYGUAURUUAAAGUUGUUGCAGUUAAAAAGCUCGUAGUUGGAUCUAGGGACGCGCAUUUCAAGCGCCCGUGCCGUCGGGUCAAACCGGCGGCUGCGUUGGCGUUGCGGGCUCGGUCCGUCGGUGCCCCACAAAGGGCUAUCGGCGUGUCAACCGGCCCGCCCGUCCCCUCCUUCUGGAUUCCCGUUCCUGCUAUUGAGUUAGUGGGGACGUCACAGGGGGCUCAUCGUCGUCGUGCAAACGGCGGCGGUGGGUCCCUGGGGCCCAGAUCGUUUACCGUGAAAAAAUUAGAGUGUUCAAAGCAGGCAGAUCCAAUUUUCUGCCACCGAAUACAUUAGCAUGGGAUAAUGGAAUAGGACCCUGUCCUCCUAUUUUCAGUUGGUUUUGGCAGCGCGAGGACUAGGGUAAUGAUUAAUAGGGAUAGUUGGGGGCAUUAAUAUUUAAUUGUCAGAGGUGAAAUUCUUGGAUUUAUGAAAGAUUAACUUCUGCGAAAGCAUCUGCCAAGGAUGUUUUCAUUAAUCAAGAACGAAAGUUAGGGGAUCGAAGACGAUCAGAUACCGUCGUAGUCUUAACCAUAAACGAUGCCGACCAGCGAUUAGGAGACGUUGAAUACAAAACACCACCAUCGGUGCGGUCGUCCUUGGCGUCGGUUUCGGCCGGCGCGGGGGUGGCUUAGCCCGGUGGCACCGGUGAA
Molecule: ribosomal RNA, 703 nt
Filed under: Acanthamoeba sp. AcL-BL11
Lineage: Eukaryota; Discosea; Longamoebia; Acanthamoebidae
Description: SSU rRNA
Rfam family: Eukaryotic small subunit ribosomal RNA
Source: RNAcentral